AAGCGGAGGAAAAGAAACCAACAGGGAUUGCCCCAGUAACGGCGAGUGAAGCGGCAACAGCUCAAAUUUGAAAUCUGGCCCCCGGGUCCGAGUUGUAAUUUGCAGAGGAUGCUUCGGGCGAGGUGCCUUCCGAGUUCCCUGGAACGGGACGCCACAGAGGGUGAGAGCCCCGUCUGGUCGGACACCGAGCCCGUGUGAAGCUCCUUCGAAGAGUCGAGUAGUUUGGGAAUGCUGCUCAAAAUGGGAGGUAUAUGUCUUCUAAAGCUAAAUAUUGGCCAGAGACCGAUAGCGCACAAGUAGAGUGAUCGAAAGAUGAAAAGCACUUUGAAAAGAGGGUUAAAAAGUACGUGAAAUUGUUGAAAGGGAAGCGCCCAUGACCAGACUUGGGCCCGGUGAAUCACCCGGCGUUCUCGCCGGUGCACUUUGCCGGGCACAGGCCAGCAUCAGUUUGGCGCGGGGGACAAAGGCUUCGGGAACGUGGCUCCCUCGGGAGUGUUAUAGCCCGCUGCGUAAUACCCUGCGCCGGACUGAGGUACGCGCAUCGCAAGGAUGCUGGCGUAAUGGUCAUCAGCGACCCGUCUUGAAACACGGACCAAGGAGUCGUCUUCGUAUGCGAGUGUUCGGGUGUCAAACCCCUACGCGGAAUGAAAGUGAACGCAGGUGAGAGCUUCGGCGCAUCAUCGACCGAUCCUGAUGUUCUCGGAUGGAUUUGAGUAAGAGCAUACGGGGCCGGACCCGAAAGAAGGUGAACUAUGCCUGUAUAGGGUGAAGCCAGAGGAAACUCUGGUGGAAGCUCGCAGCGGUUCUGACGUGCGAAUCGAUCGUCAAAUAUGGGCAUGGGGGCGAAAGACUAAUCGAACCUU
This 863-nucleotide ribosomal RNA is filed under the name Cordyceps tenuipes. RNAcentral describes it as "LSU rRNA". It matches the Rfam family "Eukaryotic large subunit ribosomal RNA", at positions 48 to 943 of the family's 3401-position model. Lineage: Eukaryota; Fungi; Ascomycota; Sordariomycetes; Hypocreales; Cordycipitaceae. The record is from RNAcentral.